CUACCUAAUCAAUUUAGAAGGUUGAGUCCUGAAUAAGAUUGCUUGACAGUUUGGUUAAGCCCAUACCAAUUAGAUUGAUCAUAUGAUGACUGAUUAGAUAAGACCUAAACCUAAAUCUCCCCAUAAAUAUUAAGUCCAUAGGUCUUUUAUCGUUAUAGAUGUGUGGACGUGUUGCUGGUGUUGAUUGUUCUCGACUGGUCACAAUGGUUCAGUUGUAUCGAAAACACACAACUACUCUAUUAGGAAAGAGUUACUCUAGGGUAAAGAUG
RNAcentral lists this long non-coding RNA (269 nucleotides) under Elaeis guineensis (African oil palm). Its description in RNAcentral is "long non-coding RNA (EGUI_LNC057879)". Lineage: Eukaryota; Viridiplantae; Streptophyta; Magnoliopsida; Arecales; Arecaceae. The record is from RNAcentral.